UUGAAUGAUUACAAAUAUAUCUCAAAUACAUCUUAAUUCAAUCUUAAUUUAAUCCUAAUUAAAAUCCUAUUGAAUUCCAUUCAAACUUUAGGCCAAAAACUAACUAAAUCUUGAAUCCUAAAUAAAUCCUAAUAAAAUCCUAAAUCCUAAAUCAAAUCCUAAUCAAACCUUAAAUUCUAAAUCAAAUCCUAAUCAAACCCUAAAUCUUAAAUCAAAUCUUAAUCUAAUCCUAAUCCUAAAUUAAAUCCUAACUAAAUCCUAAAUCCUAAACCAAACCUUGAUCAAAUCCUAAAUCCUAAACCAAAUCCUAAUCAAAUCCUAACCAAAUCCUAAAUCCUAAAUUAAAUCCUAAUCAAAUCUUAAACUCUAAAUCAAAUUCUAAUCAAAACCUAAUCAAAUUCUAAUCAAAUCCUAAAUAAAAUCCUAAUCAAAUCUUAAAUCAAAUCCUAAACCCUAAAUCAAAUCCUAACCAAAUUCUAAUUCUAAAUCAAACCUUAAUCAAAUCCUAAAUUCUAAAUCAACCCCCAACCAAACCUUAAAUCCUAAACCAAAUCCUAACCAAAUUUUAAACCCUAAAUCAAACUCUAACCAAAUCCUAAUCCUAAAUCAAAUCCUAAUCAAAUCCUAAAUUCUAAAUUAAAUCCUAACCAAAUCCUAAACCAAA
This 664-nucleotide long non-coding RNA is filed under the name Physcomitrium patens. RNAcentral describes it as "long non-coding RNA (PPAT_LNC000209)". The record is from RNAcentral. Lineage: Eukaryota; Viridiplantae; Streptophyta; Bryopsida; Funariales; Funariaceae.